This 378-nucleotide unclassified non-coding RNA is filed under the name plant metagenome. Its description in RNAcentral is "partial contains 5.8S ribosomal RNA, internal transcribed spacer 2, and large subunit ribosomal RNA". The stretch from base 1 to 105 matches the Rfam family "5.8S ribosomal RNA", at positions 50 to 154 of the family's 154-position model. The record is from RNAcentral.
GAAAUGCGAUAAGUAAUGUGAAUUGCAGAAUUCAGUGAAUCAUCGAAUCUUUGAACGCACCUUGCGCUCCUUGGUAUUCCUUGGAGCAUGCCUGUUUGAGUAUCAUGAAAUCUUCAAAGUAAAUCUUUUGUUAACUCAAUUGGUUUCUACUUUGGUAUUGGAGGUCUUUGCAGCGUCACACCUGCUCCUCUUUGUUCAUUAGCUGGAUCUCAGUGUUAUGCUUGGUUCCACUCGGCGUGAUAAGUUAUCUAUCGCUGAGGACACUGUAAAAGGUGGCCAAGGUAAAUGCAGAUGAACCGCUUCUAAUAGUCCAUUGACUUGGACAAUACUUUUAUGAUCUGAUCUCAAAUCAGGUAGGACUACCCGCUGAACUUAAGC